CCUACGGGCUGCACCAGUGGGGAAUAUUGCACAAUGGGCGCAAGCCUGAUGCAGCCAUGCCGCGUGUAUGAAGAAGGCCUUCGGGUUGUAAAGUACUUUCAGCGGGGAGGAAGGCGAUAAGGUUAAUAACCUUGUCGAUUGACGUUACCCGCAGAAGAAGCACCGGCUAACUCCGUGCGAGCAGCCGCGGUAGUACGGAGGGUGCAAGCGUUAAUCGGAAUUACUGGGCGUAAAGCGCACGCAGUCGGUCCGUCAAGUCGGAUGUGAAAUCCCCGGGCUCAACCUGGGAACUGCAUUCGAAACUGGCAGGCUAGAGUCUUGUAGAGGGGGGUAGAAUUCCAGGUGUAGCGGUGAAAUGCGUAGAGAUGUGGAGGAAUACCGGUGGCGAAGGCGGCCACCUGGACAAAGACUGACGCUCAGGUGCGAAAGCGUGGGGAGCAAACAGGAUUAGAUACCCCCGUAGUC
RNAcentral lists this ribosomal RNA (465 nucleotides) under uncultured bacterium. RNAcentral describes it as "bacterial SSU rRNA". It matches the Rfam family "Bacterial small subunit ribosomal RNA", at positions 338 to 795 of the family's 1533-position model. The record is from RNAcentral.